AUGUAGGAUGUGGUCAAUGACUGACUC
This 27-nucleotide non-coding RNA is filed under the name Homo sapiens (human). The record is from RNAcentral. Lineage: Eukaryota; Metazoa; Chordata; Mammalia; Primates; Hominidae.